Molecule: transfer-messenger RNA, 398 nt
Filed under: Aquimarina intermedia
Lineage: Bacteria; Pseudomonadati; Bacteroidota; Flavobacteriia; Flavobacteriales; Flavobacteriaceae
Also listed under: 1 other name
Description: Standard tmRNA
Rfam family: transfer-messenger RNA
About the family: Bacterial tmRNA, also known as 10Sa RNA or SsrA, is named for its dual tRNA and mRNA-like properties. Its role is to liberate the mRNA from a stalled ribosome.
Source: Rfam by way of RNAcentral
GGGGUCGACUGGUUUUGACAGCGAGACUAAUGAGAUGGUAAGCACGUCGAGCGCUGGGAUAUAGCUCGUAAAUAUCAUAUUUCAUCUUUUUUAAACGGCGAGAAUAACUACGCCCUAGCUGCAUAAUCUGAAUUUCAGUAGGAUAAUGCCUCGGUCUACAAGGUAGACAAGCAGGAUACUCUUCAAAAGCCUUGGUUUAUGGCGUUUGGUUUUGAGUAUCGUAAAAGUAAACCUAGAAACCAAAGGGUCUUGAUUUGGUUUUGAAAUUAAUUGAGAAUAAGCUGUGCGUUGGUGGUUUUUGACCGGCAAGCAGACGAAAACCUAAACAGAAACUAAGCGUGUAGAAAGCUAUUUGAUUACUUGUUUGGACGAGGGUUCGAAUCCCUCCGACUCCACGA